Molecule: ribosomal RNA, 497 nt
Filed under: uncultured bacterium
Lineage: Bacteria
Description: partial 16S ribosomal RNA
Rfam family: Bacterial small subunit ribosomal RNA
Source: RNAcentral
GAUGAACGCUGGCGGCGUGCCUAAUACAUGCAAGUCGAGCGAACAGACGAGGAGCUUGCUCCUCUUACGUUAGCGGCGGACGGGUGAGUAACACGUGGAUAACCUACCUAUAAGACUGGGAUAACUUCGGGAAACCGGAGCUAAUACCGGAUAAUAUAUUGAACCGCAUGGUUCAAUAGUGAAAGACGGUUUUGCUGUCACUUAUAGAUGGAUCCGCGCCGCAUUAGCUAGUUGGUAAGGUAACGGCUUACCAAGGCGACGAUGCGUAGCCGACCUGAGAGAGUGAUAGGCCACACGGGAAGUGAGACAGGGUCAAGACGCCUACGGGAGGGAGCAGUAGGGAAUCUGACGCAAUGGGCGAAAGCCUGACGGAGCAACGCCGCGUGAGUGAUGAAGGUCUUCGGAGCGUAAAACUCUGUUAUUAGGGAAGAACAAAUGUGUAAGUAACUAUGCACGUCUUGACGGUACCUAAACAGAAAGCGACGGCUAACUACGUG